RNAcentral lists this ribosomal RNA (633 nucleotides) under Butyriboletus sanicibus. RNAcentral describes it as "eukaryotic LSU rRNA". It matches the Rfam family "Eukaryotic large subunit ribosomal RNA", at positions 34 to 658 of the family's 3401-position model. The record is from RNAcentral. Lineage: Eukaryota; Fungi; Basidiomycota; Agaricomycetes; Boletales; Boletaceae.
UUAAGCAUAUCAAUAAGCGGAGGAAAAGAAACUAACAAGGAUUCCCCCCUAGUAACUGCGAGUGMCGCGGUGCAAGAGCUCAAAUUUUGAAUCUGGCAGUCCUUGGCUGUCCGAGUUGUAAUCUAGAGAAGUGUUUUCCGCGCUGGACCGUGUAUAAGUCUCCUGGAAGGGAGCGUCAUAGAGGGUGAGAAUCCCGUCUUUGACACGGACUACCAGUGCUAUGUGAUGCGCUCUCGACGAGUCGAGUUGUUUGGGAAUGCAGCUCAAAAUGGGUGGUAAACUCCAUCUAAAGCUAAAUACAGGCGAGAGACCGAUAGCGAACAAGUACCGUGAGGGAAAGAUGAAAAGAACUUUGGAAAGAGAGUUAAACAGUACGUGAAAUUGCUGAAAGGGAAACGCUUGAUGUCAGUCACGUCGGCUGGGGAUCAACCUUGCUUCUCGCUGGGUGUACUUCCUGGUCGACGGGUCAGCAUCAGUUUUGGUCGCUGUACAAGGGCAAGAGGAACGUGGCACUCCUCGGAGUGUGUUAUAGCCUUUCGUCGUAUGCAGUGGUCAGGACUGAGGAGCUCAGCACGGCUUCUUGCUUUGUGCUUAGGGAUGCUGGCAUAAUGGCCUUAAGCGACCCGUCUUGAA